RNAcentral lists this long non-coding RNA (889 nucleotides) under Setaria viridis. RNAcentral's name for it is "long non-coding RNA (SVIR_LNC011182)". Lineage: Eukaryota; Viridiplantae; Streptophyta; Magnoliopsida; Poales; Poaceae. The record is from RNAcentral.
CCAAACCUGUAAAGCAAAUGGACACUGAAUACAUAGGUGAACGGCAGUUUCAGGUGCCCCUUCACACAAAGGGCAAAUUGGGUUGCAAGGCCAAUUCCUACCAGCAGCUUGUCCGUAGUUAAUAUUUUGGUUUGUAGCAGCAGCUAGGCGAAGAAUUAAUGUUUUCCUUCCAUUUGUGCCUUCAAGAUGUCGUUUGCUCUAAAGGAGCGGUAAGACCCUUUGAAUUGAACCACAUAGGCAGAUUUAGCAGUAUAGUUCCCAUCUAUAAUCCAACGCUAGACAAUGUCAUCAGGCUCAUCACUGAAGGAGAUGUUCUGGACCAAGUCUCAUAAUGUCACAAAUUCUUCCAUUUUAGUGAUACUACUAAUUCUCCAUAGCCCCAUUGUCCAGUUAUGUUCAUUUAUCUCCUCCUGCACCUUCCUGUGCUUUCUCUAUGCUAGCUUAUACAGGUUAGGAGCAAUGUCCUAGGAGCCUUACCCUCCAGCCAAGAUGAGUUAUAGAAUUCAGCUAUGAGGCCAUUCCCAAUGUGAACUACUGUACUAGCUCUGAAAAGUUGCAAAUCAACUUCAUUGAUAGUUGUUUCUCCUCCCACCCACGGUCUGUCUGGUUCUUUCCAUUGCAGCCAUGGCCAUCUCAGUCUCAGUACUCUACUAAAAAAUUCUAGGUCCAAUGGACCAAGCUCUCCUAGUUUCUUUGGUUUGAUAAAUUUGAUCUAUCUCAAUAAAACAGUGGCCCCCCAUUGGUCUCAUAUGUUCCCUUUUAGAGAAAACCUCUCCUGAUUUUGUCAAUCCUCUUGACUAUCCACUUUUUUGGGGCAAAGACAAUAAGGAAAUAAGUUGAGAUUGCAAAUAGAACUGUGUUUACUAGUGUGAGCCGUCCUACCUUAUUC